This 468-nucleotide ribosomal RNA is filed under the name uncultured bacterium. RNAcentral's name for it is "partial 16S ribosomal RNA". It matches the Rfam family "Bacterial small subunit ribosomal RNA", at positions 28 to 507 of the family's 1533-position model. The record is from RNAcentral.
GACGAACGCUGGCGGCGUGCUUAACACAUGCAAGUCGAACGGAAAGGCCCUGCUUUUGUGGGGUGCUCGCGUGGCGAACGGGUGAGUAACCCGUGAGUAACCUGCCCUUGACUUUGGGAUAUCCUCAGGAGACUGCGGCUACUACCGGAUAGGAGCUCCUGCUGCAUGGUGGGGGUUGGAACGUUUCGGCGGUUGUGGAUGGACUUGCGGCUUAUCAGCUUGUUGGUGGGGUAGUGGCUUACCCAGGCUUUGACGGGUAGGCGGCCUGAGAGGGUGACCGGCCACAUGGGGACUAAGAGACGGACCAGAGGCCAACGGUAGGCAGCAGGGGGGAAUAUUGCACAAUGGGCGGAAGCGUGAUGCGGCGACGCCGCGUGCGGGAUGACGGCCUUGUGGGGGUAAACCGCUGUCGCCUAUGACGAAGCUGGAGUGACGGUAAUGGGUAAAGAAGCACCGGCUAACUACGUG